GCGGGCGUAGCUCAGUGGCAGAGCAGCGUCCUUCCAAGUCGAGUACGAGGGUUCGAUUCCCUUCGCCCGCUCCA
This 74-nucleotide transfer RNA is filed under the name Duganella flavida. RNAcentral's name for it is "tRNA-Gly". It matches the Rfam family "tRNA". From Rfam's summary of the family: Transfer RNA (tRNA) molecules are approximately 80 nucleotides in length. Their secondary structure includes four short double-helical elements and three loops (D, anti-codon, and T loops). Further hydrogen bonds mediate the characteristic L-shaped molecular structure. tRNAs have two regions of fundamental functional importance: the anti-codon, which is responsible for specific mRNA codon recognition, and the 3' end, to which the tRNAs corresponding amino acid is attached (by aminoacyl-tRNA synthetases). tRNAs cope with the degeneracy of the genetic code in two manners: having more than one tRNA (with a specific anti-codon) for a particular amino acid; and 'wobble' base-pairing, i.e. permitting non-standard base-pairing at the 3rd anti-codon position. The record is from RNAcentral. Lineage: Bacteria; Pseudomonadati; Pseudomonadota; Betaproteobacteria; Burkholderiales; Oxalobacteraceae.